RNAcentral lists this ribosomal RNA (478 nucleotides) under uncultured bacterium. Its description in RNAcentral is "partial 16S ribosomal RNA". It matches the Rfam family "Bacterial small subunit ribosomal RNA", at positions 28 to 507 of the family's 1533-position model. The record is from RNAcentral.
GAUGAACGCUGGCGGCGUGCUUAACACAUGCAAGUCGAACGAGAAGUGGAGACGGAAACCUUCGGGCGGAAGACUUUACUUCGAGUGGCGGACGGGUGAGUAACGCGUGGGUAACCUGCCUCAUACAGGGGGAUAACAGUUGGAAACGACUGUUAAUACCGCAUAAGACCACAGCACCGCAUGGUGCGGGGGUAAAAACUCCGGUGGUAUGAGAUGGACCCGCGUUCGAUUAGCCAGUUGGCGGGGUAACGGCCCACCAAAGCGACGAUCGAUAGCCGAUCUGAGAGGAUGACCGGCCACAUUGGGGCUGAGACACGGCACAAACUCCUACGGGAGGCAGCAGUGGGGAAUAUUGCACAAUGGGGGAAACCCUGAUGCAGCGACGCCGCGUGAGUGAAGAAGUAUUGCGGUAUGUAAAGCUCUAUCAGCAGGGAAGAAAAUGACAGUACCUGAGUAAGAAGCCCCGGCUAACUACGUG